GACUCAUUAGCUCAGUUGGUAGAGCAUUUCACUUUUAAUGAAGGGGUCGCUGGUUCGAAUCCAGCAUGGGUCACCA
RNAcentral lists this transfer RNA (76 nucleotides) under Chromatiales bacterium. Its description in RNAcentral is "tRNA-Lys". It matches the Rfam family "tRNA". From Rfam's summary of the family: Transfer RNA (tRNA) molecules are approximately 80 nucleotides in length. Lineage: Bacteria; Pseudomonadati; Pseudomonadota; Gammaproteobacteria; Chromatiales. The record is from RNAcentral.